UACAGAGGUCUCAAGCGUUGUUCGGAUUUAUUGGGCGUAAAGGGUGCGUAGGCGGCGCGGUAAGUCGGGUGUGAAAUCUCGGAGCUUAACUCCGAAACUGCAUUCGAUACUGCCGUGCUUGAGGACUGGAGAGGAGACUGGAAUUCAUGGUGUAGCGGUGAAAUGCGUAGAGAUCAUGAGGAAGACCAGUGGCGAAGGCGGGUCUCUGGACAGUGCCUGACACUGAGACACGAAGGCUAGGGGAGCAAACAGG
RNAcentral lists this ribosomal RNA (253 nucleotides) under uncultured bacterium. RNAcentral's name for it is "partial 16S ribosomal RNA". It matches the Rfam family "Bacterial small subunit ribosomal RNA", at positions 524 to 776 of the family's 1533-position model. The record is from RNAcentral.